Molecule: ribosomal RNA, 235 nt
Filed under: uncultured bacterium
Lineage: Bacteria
Description: partial 16S ribosomal RNA
Rfam family: Bacterial small subunit ribosomal RNA
Source: RNAcentral
UACGUAGGUGGCAAGCGUUGUCCGGAUUUAUUGGGUUUAAAGGGUGCGUAGGCGGUUCUAUAAGUCAGUGGUGAAAUCCGGCAGCUCAACUGUCGAUGUGCCAUUGAUACUGCAGAACUUGAGUACAGACGAGGUAGGCGGAAUUGACGGUGUAGCGGUGAAAUGCUUAGAUAUCGUCAAGAACACCGUAUAGCGAAGCACUUAUAGACUGAUAACCUGACGCUGAUGAACACGG